This 496-nucleotide ribosomal RNA is filed under the name Liopholis whitii (White's rock-skink). RNAcentral describes it as "partial 16S ribosomal RNA". It matches the Rfam family "Bacterial large subunit ribosomal RNA", at positions 1851 to 2589 of the family's 2925-position model. The record is from RNAcentral. Lineage: Eukaryota; Metazoa; Chordata; Lepidosauria; Squamata; Scincidae.
GGUCCCGCCUGCCCAGUGAAACAUUUUAAACGGCCGCGGUAUCCUAACCGUGCAAAGGUAGCGUAAUCACUUGUCUUCUAAAUAAAGACUAGUAUGAACGGCUAAAUGAGGACAAAACUGUCUCUUACAGCUAAUCAGUGAAACUGAUCUCCCAGUACAAAAGCUGGGAUAAAAUCAUAAGACGAGAAGACCCUGUGGAGCUUUAAACUAACCGCUAAUAAACACUUACAAUCAUGUUCCUAGCCUGAAGUUUUAAGUUGGGGCGACUUCGGAACAAAAUAAAACUUCCGAGCACAGAACCACCGCUUCUCACCAAGGCUAACAAGCCGAAGCAAAACCCGACCCAGUCACACUGACCAACGAACCAAGUUACCCCAGGGAUAACAGCGCUAUCUUCUUCAAGAGUCCCUAUCGACAAGAAGGUUUACGACCUCGAUGUUGGAUCAGGACACCCAAAUGGUGCAGCCGCUAUUAAAGGUUCGUUUGUUCAACGAUU